UACGUAGGGAGCGAGCGUUAUCCGGAUUUACUGGGUGUAAAGGGCGUGUAGGCGGGACUGCAAGUCAGAUGUGAAAACUAUGGGCUCAACCCAUAGCCUGCAUUUGAAACUGUAGUUCUUGAGUGCUGGAGAGGCAAUCGGAAUUCCGUGUGUAGCGGUGAAAUGCGUAGAUAUACGGAGGAACACCAGUGGCGAAGGCGGAUUGCUGGACAGUAACUGACGCUGAGGCGCGAAAGCGUGGGGAGCAAACAGG
Molecule: ribosomal RNA, 253 nt
Filed under: uncultured bacterium
Lineage: Bacteria
Description: partial 16S ribosomal RNA
Rfam family: Bacterial small subunit ribosomal RNA
Source: RNAcentral